AAGAAUACAAAGGCACCAAGUGAGUUGUGGAGAGGGACCUCCAUCUGCUUGGCUUUACCCCGUUGUCCUCUUGGGAUUCCUUCAGCAUGCCAUGUAGUCAGAGCACAACCAACUUCCAAGCCUCUGUGGCAGAACUCAAAACUGAAACCAUUUUGAAGGAAUUUGUCUGGUUCUCAGCACCACAAACAUCUGGGAAAGGAAGCUGUUCAGAAUCAGAGCUCUGGCAGAGUAUCUCCAGCUGCACUGUCAUACGCCGGGCAUUGAGGCUGUGCACCGCAACCCACCAUACCUAGUGACCAGUCAUGUAUUUUGUCCCAACAACAAGAACUCUUUGAGAAGAGCAUUUCAGUGUUUGAUUUCAUUUGGAAUAAUACAAAAAGCUAGGUACUAAAGAAUAAAAUGUGUCAUUUGUAAUGGG
Mastomys coucha (southern multimammate mouse) is the source of this 418-nucleotide long non-coding RNA. RefSeq lists it as uncharacterized. The transcript has 2 exons. NCBI's taxonomy places the organism in Eukaryota, Metazoa, Chordata, Mammalia, Rodentia, Muridae. The record is from RefSeq and is a predicted model, not a curated record.